CUUCAUAUAUAUAUGCAUACUUUUGUAUACGUUCGAAGUUCAAUCCAUGCGCAAUGAAUUUGCGCAUUUACGAAAAGGGUGAAUAAGUGAAAAAAUUUUGGUAAGAUUUUCGGAUAGUUAACUCAACGAUAUUCAAAAUGACUGGUGGUACAUCCACCGAAAAGUCAACAAGUAAUCCUCUGGAACAAUUUGUGCUGCUUGCAAAAACAGCUAAAGGUGCAGCAGCUUUGGAAUUAAUACGUCAAGCUGUAGAAACACCAGGAGUUCAUGUCUUUGGUGAAUUACUGGAUAUGCCAAAUAUAAAGGAAUUGGAAAGUGGUCCAUAUGUUCAAUAUUGGAAUACAUUAAAUUUAUUUGCAUAUGGUACAUAUAAACAAUAUUUAGAGAAUAAAGAUAAGGUUCUGGAAUUGACUCCUACACAAAAAAAGAAGCUUCAACAUCUUACAAUUGUAACACUUGCAACUAAGUCUAAAUGUAUACCUUAUUCUAUCUUGCUUGAAGAACUUGAUAUAAAAAAUGUCAGAGAUCUAGAGGAUCUAAUAAUAGAAGCUAUAUAUGCAGACAUAAUACAUGGUAAAUUAGAUCAAAAAAAUUCUCAAUUGGAAGUGGAUUAUGCUGGCUUAGGACGAGAUGUUAGACCCGGUGAUGCAGGAGUAGUAGCAGAAACUUUAUCUGCUUGGGGUGAAGCUUGUGACGCUGUCUUAGCGUGCAUCGAAGAACAAGUGACACGUGCAAAUGUAGAAAAACAAAAAGCCACUUAUCACAAAGAAAGAAUACAACGAGAUAUUGCCAAUAUAAAGAAAUUGCUGGCUGCUCAAGCUGGUGGUGGUGGAGUACAAGAAGCUGAUGUAGCAGGAGGUAGUUCUAGUGCAGGUGGCAGUGAAUCUGGUAGAGAAGCUUUACCAGUGCUACCAGAUCUAAAGAAAAAGCAACAGAAGGUGAAAUGUCUCAGAGGCAGUGGAUCUACAGACACAUUUUUAGGAUCUACUGCGGCAUUUUCAGGAUCUACAACGCCAUUUUCAGGAUCUUCUACGUCGCGAACUGAUGUCGAUCGGCCGUCGGUGAAGAAAUUGGGGUGAUCGGAGAACGAGUUAGGGUGAUUAAAUUAGAGGAAAACACAUAUGGGGAUUUCGUUCGACGACAUGCAAUUGUCACCGUAGCAGAGAGACUGAUGGUCACCGACAUCGAAGUGAUCCUCAAUGCGACAUGAUUACCAGUACCAAAAUAAAGUGGAACAAAGGCUAGCCAUAUAACACAGGUAGUGUACAUAGUAAAGCCUAAUUAAAUGAUUAUUAUGUUAUUUAUAUUUCAUUUAUUAUAUAAACUGUAUUAACUCUAAUCUAUCUUGUGUGUGCUUUAAGAAAUAAUAAUAAUAACAAUAAUAAUAAUAAUAAAAAUAAAUGAGCUUACACAUAAUGUCUAAUUGAAAAAUUAAUAUUAU
This is an RNA transcript of Vespa velutina, 1441 nucleotides long. It is a transcript of the gene named COP9 signalosome complex subunit 7, with no coding region annotated. Lineage: Eukaryota; Metazoa; Arthropoda; Insecta; Hymenoptera; Vespidae. The transcript is spliced from 5 exons. The record is from RefSeq and is a predicted model, not a curated record.